CGAAGGAUGCAAGCGUUAUCCGGAUUCAUUGGGUUUAAAGGGUGCGUAGGCGGACUGGAUAAGUCAGUGGUGAAAUCUCUUUGCUUAACAAAGAAACUGCCAUUGAUACUGUCGGUCUAGAGUAUAGAUGACGUUGGCGGAAUAUGACAUGUAGUGGUGAAAUACUUAGAUAUGUCAUAGAACACCGAUUGCGAAGGCAGCUAACGAAACUAUAACUGACGCUGAGGCACGAAAGUGCGGGGAUCAAACAGGAUUAGAUACCCUGGUAGUCCGCACCGUAAACGAUGAUUACUCGUUGUUGGCGAUAUGACAGUCAGCGACCAAGCGAAAGCGAUAAGUAAUCCACCUGGGGAGUACGCCGGCAACGGUG
Molecule: ribosomal RNA, 370 nt
Filed under: uncultured organism
Description: bacterial SSU rRNA
Rfam family: Bacterial small subunit ribosomal RNA
Source: RNAcentral